GGGCCCGCACAAGCGGUGGAGCAUGUGGUUUAAUUCGAUGAUACGCGAGGAACCUUACCAGGGCUUAAAUGUAGUAUGACCGGUCUGGAAACAGACCUUCCCUUCGGGGCAGAUUACAAGGUGCUGCAUGGUUGUCGUCAGCUCGUGCCGUGAGGUGUUAGGUUAAGUCCUGCAACGAGCGCAACCCCUUGUCUUAUGUUGCCAGCACGUAAUGGUGGGGACUCAUGAGAGACUGCCCGUAAAAAGCGGGAGGAAGGUGAGGACGACGUCAAGUCAUCAUGCCCCUUACGUCUUGGGCUACACACAUGCUACAAUGGCCGGUACAAUGGGUCGCCAAACCGCGAGGUGGAGCCAAUCCCUUAAAACCGGUCUCAGUUCGGAUUGUAGUCUGCAACUCGACUACAUG
This 406-nucleotide ribosomal RNA is filed under the name uncultured bacterium. RNAcentral describes it as "bacterial SSU rRNA". It matches the Rfam family "Bacterial small subunit ribosomal RNA", at positions 917 to 1322 of the family's 1533-position model. The record is from RNAcentral.